RNAcentral lists this ribosomal RNA (468 nucleotides) under uncultured bacterium. RNAcentral's name for it is "partial 16S ribosomal RNA". It matches the Rfam family "Bacterial small subunit ribosomal RNA", at positions 28 to 507 of the family's 1533-position model. The record is from RNAcentral.
GACGAACGCUGGCGGCGUGCUUAACACAUGCAAGUCGAACGGAAAGGCCCUGCUUUUGUGGGGUGCUCGAGUGGCGAACGGGUGAGUAACACGUGAGUAACCUGCCCUUGACUUUGGGAUAACUUCAGGAAACUGGGGCUAAUACCGGAUAGGAGCUCCUGCUGCAUGGUGGGGGUUGGAAAGUUUCGGCGGUUGGGGAUGGACUCGCGGCUUAUCAGCUUGUUGGUGGGGUAGUGGCUUACCAAGGCUUUGACGGGUAGCCGGCCUGAGAGGGUGACCGGCCACAGUGGGACUGAGGGACGGCCCAGACUCGUACGGGAGGCAGCAGUGGGGAAUAUGGCACAAUGGGCGGAAGCCUGAUGCAGAAACGCCGCGUGCGGGAUGACGGCCUUCGGGUUGUAAACCGCUUUCGCCUGUGACGAAGCGUGAGUGACGGUAAUGGGUAAAGAAGCACCGGCUAACUACGUG